UAAGCAUAUCAAUAAGCGGAGGAAAAGAAACUAACAAGGAUUCCCCUAGUAACUGCGAGUGAAGCGGGAAAAGCUCAAAUUUGAAAUCCUUCGGGAGUUGUAAUCUAGAGAAGUGUUUUCGGUCGUUGCCUCGGACAAGUCCCUUGGAACAGGGCGUCAUAGAGGGUGAGAAUCCCGUCCUUGCCGAGCUACCAACGUCUAUGUGAUGCGCUCUCGAAGAGUCGAGUUGUUUGGGAAUGCAGCUCAAAAUGGGUGGUAAACUCCAUCUAAAGCUAAAUAUUGGCGAGAGACCGAUAGCGAACAAGUACCGUGAGGGAAAGAUGAAAAGCACUUUGGACAGAGAGUUAAACAGUACGUGAAAUUGUUGAAAGGGAAGCGCUUGAAGUCAGUCGCGUUGCAGGGACUCAGCCGCAAGGUGCAUUUCUUUGCAACGGGUCAACAUCAGUUUUGGGCGUGGGAAAAGGGCGUGAGGAAUGUGGCAGCCUCGGCUGUGUUAUAGCCUCCUGUCGUACACCAUGCUUGGGACUGAGGACCGCUAAACAGGAUGUUGACGUAAUGGCUUUAAGCGACCCGUCUUGAAACACGGACCAAGGAGUCUAACAUGUCUGCGAGUGUUUGGGUGUCAAACCCGUGCGCGCAAUGAAAGUAAACGUAGGUGGGAGGCCUCGGCCGCACCAUCGACCGAUCCGGAUCUCUUGGGAUGGAUUUGAGUAAGAGCAUAUAUGUUGGGACCCGAAAGAUGGUGAACUAUGCCUGAAUAGGGCGAAGCCAGAGGAAACUCUGGUGGAGGCUCGUAGCGAUUCUGACGUGCAAAUCGAUCGUCAAAUUUGGGUAUAGGGGCGAAAGACUAAUCGA
Molecule: ribosomal RNA, 855 nt
Filed under: Dacrymyces capitatus
Lineage: Eukaryota; Fungi; Basidiomycota; Dacrymycetes; Dacrymycetales; Dacrymycetaceae
Description: partial large subunit ribosomal RNA
Rfam family: Eukaryotic large subunit ribosomal RNA
Source: RNAcentral